CAGCGCCGCAAGUGGGGACCUCUUUUAUUGGGCCUAAAGCGUCCGUAGCUGGUUUAGUAAAUCUCUUGUGAAAUCGUUAGACUCAAUUUAACGGCAUGCAGGAGACACUGCUUUACUAGAGACCGGGAGAAGUAUGGAGUAUUCCGGGGGAACCGGUAAAAUGGGAUAAUCCUCGGAGGACUACCUGUGGCGAAGGCGCCAUACUAGAACGGAUCUGACAGUGAGGGACGAAGGCUAGGGGAGCAAACCGGAUUAGAGACCCGAGUAGUCC
Molecule: ribosomal RNA, 271 nt
Filed under: uncultured archaeon
Lineage: Archaea
Description: partial 16S ribosomal RNA
Rfam family: Archaeal small subunit ribosomal RNA
Source: RNAcentral